Molecule: long non-coding RNA, 1648 nt
Organism: Lutra lutra (Eurasian river otter)
Lineage: Eukaryota; Metazoa; Chordata; Mammalia; Carnivora; Mustelidae
Exons: 3
Source: RefSeq, a predicted model, not a curated record
CUUUACUGAGCGGAGGAGUUUCCCUCUAUUUUUCUGAAAGGAUUACUCAUGAACGGGUGUUGAAUUUUGUUAAGUGCUUUUUCUGUAUCUGUUGAUAUGUUCUUGUGAUUUUCCUUCUUCAGCCUGUUAAAUACAAGGAGGGAGGUUGAGGCCUUGUUAAUGCCAGGUGGAGGGAGAAUUCGAGUUUCCCACCCAGGCUCCACUGCCACCUGCGAUGAGCAAGCUGAGGCUCAGGAAGGUAACUUCCUCCACAGAUCAACGGCAUCAAGUGGAGGAGUUAGAUUCGCAGGAAGUCUGAAGCAUCCAGCGCUGUCCCACAAUGCUGGGAAUGCAUGCAGCAUGUGGCUGGAACAGUGGAUUAACUCGAGGGAGGAGGAGAGAGUAGGUGGAAAUUGAAGCAAGAUAUAGGAACAUUUUUUGAGCAAAGGAGGGAGGGCCCGAUGAGGCCUCACUGGGGGCUCCCAGGGCAGGGGAAAGGACACGAAAAAGGGAGAAGGUCCCGUCCCCACUACGUGAGAAUAUGGGUGCCUGGGUGACCCCAUCUGUGGAGGGACCAACUCUUGAUUUCGACUCACAUCAUGAUCUCGGGGUUGUGGGGUUGAGCCCCGCCUUGUGCACCAAGCUCAGUGAGGGUCUGCUUGUCCACCCCCCACUCCCAUGCUCUCUCAAAUAAAUAAUAAAUUUUUUAAAAAAUGAGAAUGUGACUCUCAUCAUGAUAUCUGAUCAAAAUCCUGACCAGGUUAUCUUUCAUGUCAUUUCAAAAAAUCCUAGUAAGACAAUCAGGCUUAUUUGUUCUCUCUUUUCAAAAGACAAAUUUACAUUAGGUGCUUUGAAGAAAAACCUGGCUAAUUUUUUGACAGAAGCUUUGCAACGUGAUGGGUUAAGUCCUACUCAGCUUGUGGCUCCUUAAUUUGAAAAUGUCAUGCUCCUGAAUCAUGCUGAGUCAUUCAUUCAGGGCUGGUGAGGUCAAUUAGACACCAUGUGGGUAGACAGAUGACAUCAUCCACCUCCUUCAGGAGGGACAGAGGAGAAAUAGAUUCCAACUGAAUUUUGUUCCAAAAGACUGGAUAGGACUGACCAAAGAGGAGCAGUGUGCAAAGAAUCAGAGCAGAAGAUUCCAGCGAGCUCUUGGAUGAAGCAGCAGUAUCAUCCAAAAUAUGUCACAGAACACCAGUUUCAUGGAGUGAUCCGAGGAAAAAGGGGUUCACGGUUUGUGUAAAACUCUAGGUUUAACAAUUAAAUUUCUUUACUGCAGGCCUUCUCAGAGCCUUUAAAACUUUCAGGUGCAUUAUAAACACCUGAGGGGAUGUAGUAUGCACUUGUUUACAGAAAUCUACCCCCACUCACCCAUUCAUACAAUCUCUUUUCUAUCUUGGAGAUUUCUUCUGUCUAGUACCUCACAUCUCACCUUACAUUGAUUAUUUUAUUUGUCAUCUCUCAAAGCAUCCCUUGGAAAUACCAAUUAUAAUUUGUAAGUUCUGGGACAGGAAGAGACUUAUGACCCAGAACUGAAUCCCCUCCUGCAGACUUUAGUUCCUCAAAAAUGGGCCUGGGGGUGCCUGGGUGGCUCAGUCCUUAAGUGUCUGUCUUGGGCUCAGCUCAUGAUCCCAGGGUCCUGAGAUCAAGCCCGGAUAUCGUGCUCCUUCCU